GGAAAGGUGAUGGACCAGUGGCUACAGUCAGGCAUAUCGCUAGCUCAAAGGUUGUGGAGCGUGGAGGUGAUCUACAGGCACCCUUAGCUGACGGUCCGGAGUCCGGUCCAGCGGCUAUACUGACAUGCCCGGAGGAGAAGGGGAAGUCCAGCCUGACAGCGGAACUCCCCGUGCCCAACUCGGCAGAGGGGAGGAGCAGACUGGAGCAGCGAGGAGCUGAAACAAGUUGGGUUAAACUGAAUGCACCGAGGACAGAGUGAAAUGAUCGAGUCCCAAACCCCAGGCAUCAAUGCACUAAGAGAGGCUUGUGAAAUGCCAGUUAUGUCUCCGAUCUGCCUUUGAAAGCUACCAGUGGACAUAAAGCCAAUAGAAGACAGAACUUGAAUAUGUGCAGCAACAGGAUGUGUGCGCUUGGUGUGUCUGUGCAGCCUAGGACCCAACAUCUCACACAAUUCCUUUAGGACUGCCUGGGGAAAGCGGUCUUCCAGAAGUGCAAGACCAGACAUUUUCAAAUGAUGUUUUGACGUAUUACUGUAUGUGAAUUUAUAGAAAAGAAUGAUUUCUUAAUGAUUUCUACA
Acipenser ruthenus (sterlet) is the source of this 578-nucleotide long non-coding RNA. RefSeq lists it as uncharacterized. Lineage: Eukaryota; Metazoa; Chordata; Actinopteri; Acipenseriformes; Acipenseridae. The record is from RefSeq and is a predicted model, not a curated record. The transcript has 3 exons.